GAUGAAGAACGUAGCGAAAUGCGAUACUUGGUGUGAAUUGCAGAAUCCCGUGAACCAUCGAGUCUUUGAACGCAAGUUGCGCCCGAAGCCAUCAGGUUGAGGGCACGUCUGCCUGGGCGUCACAUAUCGUUGCCCAAUGCCUAUUGCAGUGCAAUAGGAAUUUCUAGGGCGAAUGAUGGCUUCCCGUGAGCGUUGUUGCCUCGCGGUUGGUUGAAAAUCGAGUCCUUGGUAGGGUGUGCCAUGGUAGAUGGUGGUCGAGUUAGAACGAUACCGAUCAUGUGCAUGCUCCCCAAAAUAUGGCCUCUAUGACCCACACGCGUCUUUUGACGCUCAUGACGAGACCUCAGGUCAGGCGGGGCUACCAGCUGAAUUUAAGCAUAUCAAUAUGCGGAGGA
RNAcentral lists this unclassified non-coding RNA (395 nucleotides) under soil metagenome. RNAcentral's name for it is "partial contains 5.8S ribosomal RNA, internal transcribed spacer 2, and large subunit ribosomal RNA". The stretch from base 1 to 122 matches the Rfam family "5.8S ribosomal RNA", at positions 35 to 154 of the family's 154-position model. The record is from RNAcentral.